RNAcentral lists this unclassified non-coding RNA (291 nucleotides) under Hevea brasiliensis (rubber tree). Lineage: Eukaryota; Viridiplantae; Streptophyta; Magnoliopsida; Malpighiales; Euphorbiaceae. The record is from RNAcentral.
AAAAAAAAAAAAGAAAACAUUCCGUCUUAAAUUGGUUAAAUCAACAAUAAUUUAUAAAUUUCCUGAGGAAACACAACAAACGAUCCCAUUAACACAAACCCAUUUGAACCCCAAGUAAUGCUAAACGAAACAACAGCGGGAGUGAGGAUGGACACGAAUCAACACUAAACCCUAUGAAAUAAAAGGAUUAUAGAAGGAUAUGGAAUGCAAAACCCUAAAACAAGAAAUUGAAAAUUGAGCAGAUUGAAAUGCAACGAGCAGUGGAAGCAUGCUCAAAAAAAAAAAAAAAAU